AUGGGGUGGGGAUCCCAGGGCUGGGCAACCACGGCUUCAAGCUUUUCUAUCAAUAUUGAUCCAGCCAAUCCCUACAGCCUUAGCAGAAUGAAUCACCCCACUUAUUCCGUCAGAGCCAAGCCUCAUUCUCAGCCCCCAUCAGGGAAGGGUGUAGUGACUGGCACAGCUGGGAACCAGGAAGGGACCCAGGGCCUGCGGUCCCAGGCUGCUCGGCCUUGGUUGCACCCAACACCACCUGGAAAGGUACCUUCCCAGAACCCCAGAGGCCAGCAUAUUGGGGCGUGGAGCCAGCGCCCUCUUGUGGGCGGAGAGCAGGACGCUGCAGACUGGCGGGGUUGGCUUUCUCCAGCCCCUGGGGAGGGGCCGAUGGUCGUGGAGUCCUUCCAGGGAAGAAGGACAUGCCACUUGGUGCUCAGGGAACGUCAGCCAGGUGAUCUUUUGGCUCCUGGCACCUAACCUUUGGACAACAAGAUCAGACAAGUCAGUCUUAAAGGAAAUCCACCCUGAAUGUUCACUGGAAGGACAGUUGCUGAAGCUGAAGCUUCAGUACUUUGGCCACCUGACAUGAAGAGCCGACUCCUUGAAAAAGACCCUGAUGCUGGGAAAGACCGAAGGCAAAAGGAGAAGGGGGCGGCAGAGGAUGAGAUGGUUAGAUAGUGUCACCAACUCAACAGGCGAGUUUGAGCAAACUCUGGGAGACAGUGGAGGACAGAGGAGCCUGGUGUGCUGCAGUCCGUGACGUUGCAGAGUCAGGCAUGGCUUAGAGGUUGAACAAACACAAACCUAACUUAGCCCUCAAAUAAGCAAUUCAGCUUCAGCUAAGACACGCCUGCCACCAGCAAGUCAAAGAAAGGAAGGCGGUUUGCAAAGACAAAUAGGAUCUGAACCCUUCCCUUCCCCUCGCUCAAUUCCAGGGCCAAGAAGACUUUCAUACAAAGAGGGAGGAGGGGUCAUUUCAGCGGGUGAAGACCCACUGCAGGGGGAGGGGCUACUCAGACAAGGCCUUCAGCCCUGCAUCUUCAGGGAGCUCCGGUGGGUGGGCAGGCCGUGAGGCCAAAGGAAAUCAAGAAAGAGGCACGGUUCACCUGCGUUUUAACAGAUGUGUCCUUUAUCAGCUGUCUUUCCAUAGUAGUGGCGGGGAACAGGAACAUAGAUUUAAAAAUAAAACCGCAAACAAAUAGCA
Long non-coding RNA from Bos indicus x Bos taurus (hybrid cattle), 1183 nucleotides. The record is from Ensembl. NCBI's taxonomy places the organism in Eukaryota, Metazoa, Chordata, Mammalia, Artiodactyla, Bovidae.